RNAcentral lists this ribosomal RNA (571 nucleotides) under fungal sp. A216. RNAcentral's name for it is "eukaryotic LSU rRNA". The stretch from base 248 to 401 matches the Rfam family "5.8S ribosomal RNA". The record is from RNAcentral. Lineage: Eukaryota; Fungi.
UUCCGUAGGGUAACCUGCGGAAGGAUCAUUACAACGAAACGGCGCCCUCACCGGCGCCGGUUCUCAAACCACUGCGUAUGAAGCUCUCGAGGUUGCCUCCCGGCUGGCGUGCGGCUCCCGCGCGCCCGCCGGGGGGGUCAACAGCCCGAGACUCGUUUCCUUCGCGGGGUACCCCCCCGCGGCAGGACGCUACCAAACAUUUUGUCAAGAUGUCAUCGUCUGAACCUAUUGAAAAAAUAGAAAAUACAACUUUUAACAAUGGAUCUCUUGGCUCCGGCAUCGAUGAAGAACGCAGCGAAAUGCGAUAACUAGUGUGAAUUGCAGAUUUCAGUGAAUCAUCGAGUCUUUGAACGCACAUUGCGCCUCUUGGUAUUCCUCGAGGCAUGCCUGUUCGAGCGUCGUUUCACCCCUCAAGCGCAAGCUUGGUGUUGGGGAUCGCCCCUGAAAUACGGCGGCGGCCCUUAAAUGCAUCGGCGGAGCUGGUACCAGCCCGGAGCGCAGCAGACAUGCAGCUUCCAGGCGACCUGGCCCCCGCCGGACAACGAAACUUUUAUACGUGUCGACACUCGAA